GACAGUGUGGCCGAGUGGUCUAAGGCGCUGGUCUCGAAUGAAAACCAGUCUCUUCGGAGGCGUCGGUUCGAAUCCGACCGCUGUCG
Molecule: transfer RNA, 86 nt
Filed under: Rasamsonia emersonii
Lineage: Eukaryota; Fungi; Ascomycota; Eurotiomycetes; Eurotiales; Trichocomaceae
Also listed under: 1 other name
Description: tRNA-Ser
Rfam family: tRNA
About the family: Transfer RNA (tRNA) molecules are approximately 80 nucleotides in length.
Source: RNAcentral